GACGAACGCUGGCGGCGUGCUUAACACAUGCAAGUCGAACGUGAUUUUUGUGGAAAUUCUUUCGGGAAUGGAAAUGAAAUGAAAGUGGCGAACGGGUGAGUAACACGUGAGCAACCUACCUUACACAGGGGGAUAGCCGUUGGAAACGACGAUUAAUACCGCAUGAGACCACAGAAUCGCAUGAUAUAGGGGUCAAAGAUUUAUCGGUGUAAGAAGGGCUCGCGUCUGAUUAGCUAGUUGGAAGGGUAAAGGCCUACCAAGGCGACGAUCAGUAGCCGGUCUGAGAGGAUGAACGGCCACAUUGGAACUGAGACACGGUCCAAACUCCUACGGGAGGCAGCAGUGGGGAAUAUUGCACAAUGGGGGGAACCCUGAUGCAGCGACGCCGCGUGAGCGAAGAAGGUUUUCGAAUCGUAAAGCUCUGUCCUAUGAGAAGAUAAUGACGGAUUCAUAGGAGGAG
This 460-nucleotide ribosomal RNA is filed under the name Parvimonas micra. RNAcentral describes it as "bacterial SSU rRNA". It matches the Rfam family "Bacterial small subunit ribosomal RNA", at positions 28 to 489 of the family's 1533-position model. The record is from RNAcentral. Lineage: Bacteria; Bacillati; Bacillota; Tissierellia; Tissierellales; Peptoniphilaceae.